This is a non-coding RNA of Triticum urartu, 125 nucleotides long. Lineage: Eukaryota; Viridiplantae; Streptophyta; Magnoliopsida; Poales; Poaceae. The record is from Rfam.
UUUAUACUCCCUCUGUCCAAAAAUACUUGUCGGAGAAAUGGAUGUAUUUAGACAUAUUUUAGUUUUAAAUAUAUCCAUUUUUAUUCAUUUCUCUGACAAGUAUUUCCGGACGGAGGAAGUACUAU